RNAcentral lists this long non-coding RNA (3000 nucleotides) under Solanum tuberosum (potato). Its description in RNAcentral is "long non-coding RNA (STUB_LNC007884)". The record is from RNAcentral. Lineage: Eukaryota; Viridiplantae; Streptophyta; Magnoliopsida; Solanales; Solanaceae.
UUUAAUUAAUUGAAAAGGCAUUUUAAAGUUUAUUUGGGAGAAACCUUAAUUUGAAACAAUUUUAAACGAACUAAAAGUGUGUUAAGUGAAAAAUAAAUGAAUUAAAUAACGCUUCUUUUUAAGAACAAAGAGUUUUAAUUCAAUUAAUGAUAUAAGAUCUUAUUAGUAAAAUAAAUGAACACAAAAAAUAUUAAAAGUAAACCAACACAACAAAAAUAACUCGUCUUUUGGGGAAUCUAAUUAAGUUAAUUAAGAAUUAUAAAGUCAGAAUUAAACAACAAUAAAUAAUCGCAAUUAAAUAAUUAAAGAGUAAGGGAGAAAUUGAAUUUGGGCCUCUUUUUGGGCCAAAUUCGCGGAAAUUUUGGGGUUUAAUCCUAAACCCGUUUUUGGUAUACAGCUGAUGUAUAUCAGUGUAUAUCAGCGUGUAUAUCAGCCCUUUUCAUGUAUUUCUUGCUUCGAAACACAUGUAUUUCCUCUAAGCCCUGUAUUUUCAUGUAUAUAAUUUAUGUAUAGCAGUGUAUACAACAUGUAUACAGCUCUUUUUUGGAGCUUUUGGAGGCUUGGUCAUCAAUUUCCAGCAUGUAUAUUGCCUCCAUUUCACUCGAUCAAGAUGGUGCUGACUCGAAGAAUCUCAACUCGGAAAAAUGCAAAAAAAAGGGAGUCCAAAAGGACUCAGGUUGAUGCACAUACAAAGAAAAUGGAAGCAACAUUAGCCAAGUCGCAUGAGAAUAUUCUAGCAACGUUUCAAAGAGUAAACUAUACCAGAAAGCAUUUUACUAAAUGUUUUCAGACAUAUCUUAACAAGAGUUUCUUAACACAAGGACAUGUAAAGUAUAUCUAGUGUAUACAGCCCAUUUUCCUGCUUUCCGAAACUUGUAGCAGCUCCAUUUUGAUCUGUUCUUUGAUUUUUCACUGCUGGCUGACUCGACAAGAACAAGAUUUGAGCCUUCUUGGCUCGAAAAUGCAAGGUACAGGGGAAAUGGAGGAGUCCAGUGGACUCAGGGGCAGAUUCAUGCAAAUAAAGAGAAGGAACAUACAGUAAGGAGCAGCAUAUAAUAAUAUAUGACUACAAACUAACAUUUAAACAAUUUAGUUAGUAGAUAAGCUAUUGCAGAUUUUAAUUGACAUACAUAAGACAAGAAGAGCCAACAUAAAUAUGAUCACAACAACACACAGAUUUAAUAAAACAAAUAGGAAGAGAUUUAUGAGUUACGGAAGAGGACACCAAUGAGUAUUUGAUUUUAGAAAGAUGGCUUAUUACCCAUAAUCUAGUCAUAAAUAUUAACAACAAAAACUAAAAUACCACAUAGAAGCAAGAAACGAUUAAAUAUCAAAAAUAAAGAACCACUAACAAUAAAAUUUGCAUGACUCUUACACAUGGAUAAGGAAGACACACUAACACUAACAACUUCAACAAAAGAGUAGGGGAAGAAAUGAACAUGUAUGCCAUUUUCUCAAGGAUAUGAAUCCAAACAGUAAGUUUAUCAUACAACUAAAGGAUAGAGAAUAUUAUUCAAAUUGGGCUAAACAUAAAAAUCACAGAGGCAAACAACUUAGAGCUGAACUAAAAGGCAAUGUUAAAAGAGUCAACACAAAUUAAAACUUUCCAAGAUAUCAGAUUGUAAGACCAAGGUUAGCGGCAUAAACGAGUCUGGCUCUCUCCAAGCGGAUUCGAAACUAGAAUGACUCAAAUUCUUAUAGCUUAACAUGUAAUCCAAACAAAAGACCCAAACAAGGACGUAAGACUAGCUUUAAGAGACUAGAUAGCAACCUCAAACUUGAACAAGACAAGAGAACAUCCAUCACACUCUUCCAUGUUCUUGACCAUAAAUAAAUAAAUAACGACAAAUAAGUCUUAAUCAGGAAACACGAGCAGGCAGUGGAGAAACAUACGAUUAAGGUCGUCAAGGUCUUUGAGACAAGAAACGACAAGCACACACAUAACUCGAUAUCUCAAUAUGAACAAGACUUAACAUAAGGCAAAAGAAGGGAAUAAAAUGAACAAAAAUCUUAAAUUUUGAUCCAUAUCUAUAAUGCCACACCCUGUUAUCAGCAAGAAGUAGCAUUUAGCUAAGUUCAAAUGUCAGAACGACAAAUUCAUACUAUCAUCGUGACUCAACUCCAAAACCAUUUAAACCAGACCGUAUGGAGCAUUUAAGAAAAUAAAAAAAAAAAUAAACACCAACGAUUGCUAUAUAAUCACGGAUCAAGGAAAAAACUUCAACACGCCAGAAUAUUAUCUUGGAAAUAAAAGAGGAAAAGAGCAUCAUAAAGGACAUCGAAUUUUACCUAUUCGGGGCAGCAAACGGAGACGAUGAGCAAAGGAGGGUAGCGAUUCUUCCGCCACGAGAUCUCGAUACGAACAGCAAGCCAAGAACUUUAGGCAAAAUUAAAGCGACUACCUUUUCGGAAUUUAGAACAAAGACAAGCUAAAAUAUAAAAUUUCAAAUGUAAAAUUACUAUUGCCAAAGAACUCCCCCCAACCCUGUCCUCAACAGUGGUUAAAACAGAUGAAUAUAUAGAUGGAAAUUUUGUGGAAAUCGCGUGAAACUUCAAAUUUUAAAAUUCGAAUUCAUUUUGCCCCUUUUCAAGACAACAGUAGAAAGCUUUGAAAAAAUCCCUUAAAACGGGGGAAAGGGGACGUGAAGGUGAUGGGUUUGCAGGGUAUGGGUUCUUGCAAGGUAGGAGACGCAAUUUCCGGGUUGAGCGUGAAGAAGACGAAGGCAAGUACGGGCAGUGGGGUCGUCUGGUUCGGGGUCUGCUGAUGGGAUUUGGUUUCUGGGUUUUGCAAUCAAAAAAGGAGAAGAAAACGUACAGUGCAGGGGGUGGGGUCAUUUGGUGUUGAUGUUGUAUUGUUUGUAUUGUAUGUUUUGUGGGCUGUUAUUGUGGGAAUGGGCUGCUGAUAAGGUUGGGAAUAAGGUGGGCUGAUGAGUGUAUUGUUGUUGGGCUGGGAAUUAUGAAGUAAGGCCCAAACUUGGUCUUUUGAUGGGUUGAAGAUGU